GACAGAGGGUGCAAACGUUGUUCGGAUUUACUGGGCGUAAAGCGCGUGUAGGCGGCUUGGCAAGUCGGAUGUGAAAGCCCACGGCUCAACCGUGGAAGCGCAUCCGAAACUGCUUCGCUCGAGUCUCGGAGAGGAAGGUGGAAUGCUUGGUGUAGAGGUGAAAUUCGUAGAUAUCAAGCAGAACACCUGCGGCGAAGGCGGCCUUCUGGACAGACACCGACGCUGAGGCACGAAAGCUAGGGGAGCAAACAGG
Molecule: ribosomal RNA, 253 nt
Filed under: uncultured bacterium
Lineage: Bacteria
Description: partial 16S ribosomal RNA
Rfam family: Bacterial small subunit ribosomal RNA
Source: RNAcentral